GGUGUGCUGCUGCUGCUGCUUUGGAGCACUCUCCGAAUAACCCUUUCUGUUUGUUCGGCACUGCUUUAGCACAACAGCAUCAAACUGCUUCAGCUUCAGCAAUGAAUGUCAGCAAUGCCUUUUGAUUUCCACCUGACCAGGUCCAGGACCUCCUGCACUAAUUCUACCACAACACAUCAUUAGUGCUAAUUUAGUUGGGUUUGUUUAAUGGGGCUCCACUUGAGCUCAGUCUAACACAGUGCACACUGCUUCCUGCACCAGGAGAGGAGUGGGUGCCAUUCUAACACUUGAGGACUUGAGAGUGGACUGAAAAAGUGGUCAAGUUUAGCAAUAAAACUAAUCCUAAGCCCAGCAGCCUGAAGCGCUUGGACAGAGGUGCUCUGUGAAACCUACAAAGAAAGAAAUGCGUGAUUCACUGCUCUCAUUCCACUGUAUGACACAGUAUCACCACAGCGCUGGUGAUUUCAUCAAGCAGCUUUUGAGCUGGAGCAGCACUUCAAGCUUCAUUGGAUGCCUGUGCCCCGCAGAAUAGAACUCCCCCUUGUCAAGAAAGCAGUGACUGAACAGCAGUCAAAACACUGCGGAAGUGCCUGCAGAUGAAGCUGGUUCCUUCAGACUCCCUUGGCCACCAGCUCAUGUCCUGGGAAUCAACACUGACCACCUGAGAAUAAAAUAAUUAAAUCAUUGCACUGCUGGUGCUAAUACUUUAAUUUCAUAUGCUGACAACAUUUCACUGUAAGCCAGUAGCCUCAUGUUAGGUAAUGUGUAUGCAUUCAGCCUGUAUAUGAAUUCACGCAUGUUUAAGUGCAUAGUGUAUGAUUAACACAUAAGCCUUAGCUUUUCUACAUUAAACGACAGCUUUCAAAGGAGGAAAAUGAAUCUUACACACCAGCUGUACCAGAAGCUUUGCUCCAAUCAAGCUGCAUGCUGUAAGCUUUAUAAGUGACAUGGAAUGGCAAGGAAUGAUUUCACCCACAUAAAUACUUACGUACAAUACUGCAUUCAGAGACUAUUCAUAGGGAUUUCUUUUUUAAUUUUAUUUUCAAACAAAGAAUGGGACAAUAACAAAAAUUACAGCAAAAAUCUUCACCAUCUCCAAGAGAACAAAGACAAGCAGUAUAUAUAUAUAGCACAUCUUACAAGAAAAUGCAUUUUUCCUAAGCAUAUUUCUGCUUAUUCCAUUCUAUUCUGUGUAUUAACAAUUUCUCUUCACAGAUUUCAGGCAGCACGUUGUGUGUAGGGGGGGGUAAAACAUGGAUACGACAGCUUAGCUUGUGGGCUAUGAACCGUUUGUAGACUGUAAUGCCUCAGAAAGUGUUACAUAGAAGUACAGCAAGACAAAAAACCAACACCGCUUUCCCAUUCACAAAGGAAAACAACUGAGUUCACAGACUGGAAAAUGAGAGUGAUACAUACUCAUGGCUUAACCCAAUUUCAUUUAGUUAUACACACAGAAGUUAGUCCAAAGCAUUUUUUCCACUAGGAAACAUGGGUUGGUAACAGUAAUCACGCACUCCUGUGACAGUUAGAAAAGCAUUACUUAAAACACAAAUUAAGUGCAUGGGAUUGGGAUGGCUCUCCUCAUAUGGUUUCUGAUUCUGUCCUCUCACAGUUGGCACACAUGAUCCCAUUCCUGGACUGAUUAAGUGGUCAUGAUUCUUAUCCUCUGCCAGACGAGGGCUGAGCCACAAUCUCACAGCUCAUGAAAUCAGAAACGCUAUUAUUUCCAAUUCCAGACACGAUUGAUUGAUACCAUUUAGAAACAAUCAAACAAAAAGCAAAAAACCAAAGCCCCAGCUACCCCAAGCCUGUUUCUGCCACAAGCUAAAACCUUUUUUUCUUUUAAUAAAAAGAUGAGAAGACUACUGGUUUAUUUGUUCUUCAUUUUGCUACGUAGCCUUUUAUUUCUAUACUUAGUCCUUGUCCAGAAAUAGCUUUCAAAUAAAUACAUAUUUACAGGUUUCCAACUUUUAAGUUCCUUCUGAUCAGCAUUAAAUCCAGGAUGUAAUUAAGUCUUCAUUAUUAGGAAUAUUUUCUUUUCAGGGACCCUGCAGGCUUUCUAGCAUGCCAAGAACCUUGUUUGGGCAAUUUCAGAGGGCAGCCAAGUAAUUUGGCAGAAGAUGAAAAACACGAGGAGCCAGUAGGGCUGGAAUAGUUUUCAAUAAUCAACUGAAAACAACUAAACAAACUGGAAUCUAGUGGGGAAAGGAAUUUUCAAAAUAAAUUAAGAGCUCAACUUUAGGAUGUGGAGAGUAUUUAGCAACAUGUAAAAAGUGUUCUGGAUGCUGCCAAAGACUCUAUUGGACGUUUGAAAGCACAUCCACCAAAAUAGAAUGUCCUGCUACAUUUUUUUGCUUUUAAGAGGGAAAGUGCAUAGCAGUUACGGUCUCUGAACACAGUAAAAAUGUAUUUAGUCUGUAUUCCGUGGAAGUGUUGUAUAUACACCAUAGUAUCACCACUUCUCUAAAGGCAAAAAUCACUCACAGAAAGCAGAAGGAAAGAACUUUCACUUUGCUCACUCAGGCUGAAAAUAUGCACAUCCUGAGAUGGGGCAGCUGGUAUCAGUCAGUCAUUUCAUGUAAGAACCGAGAUAAACUACCUCUACUUCCACUCCUACCCUCUUUCCUGCCAUCUGAACAUCUCCUUUCAGCUGUCUCACAGAGGACUCCUCUCAUAGAGCUUGGCUCUCCAGGAGCCACAAGGUGUACAUAGGGUGUACAUAGGGUGUACAUAGGGUGUACAUAGGGUGUACAUAGGGUGUACAUAGGGUGUACAUAGGGUGUGCCUGCUUUCUCUCUAGUGCUGGCUCUGGCAGAGGCAUGGACUCGUUUUGGAAAGACAAAUGUUCAGAUAUGCCUGGCUUUUUCAGAUACAUACACUGCCAUUCAGCCUACUCAUGUCUGAAGCAUUUCUCACACAAAACACUAAACUAGGAGCAAAGCUUAGAGGCUAAGUUAAGAAAGCUACAUACACAGGUUUUUUUUCAUACUAAAAAAAAAUAAUAAUAAUCUCUAAAU
Long non-coding RNA from Coturnix japonica (Japanese quail), 3017 nucleotides. RefSeq lists it as uncharacterized. The record is from RefSeq and is a predicted model, not a curated record. Lineage: Eukaryota; Metazoa; Chordata; Aves; Galliformes; Phasianidae.